GAUGAACGCUGGCGGCGUGCUUAACACAUGCAAGUCGAACGAUGAAGCCCAGCUUGCUGGGUGGAUUAGUGGCGAACGGGUGAGUAACACGUGAGUAACCUGCCCUUAACUCUGGGAUAAGCCUGGGAAGCUGGGUCUAAUACCGGAUAGGAGCGCCUACCGCAUGGUGGGUGUUGGAAAGAUUUAUCGGUUUUGGAUGGACUCGCGGCCUAUCAGCUUGUUGGUGAGGUAAUGGCUCACCAAGGCGACGACGGGUAGCCGGCCUGAGAGGGUGACCGGCCACACUGGGACUGAGACACGGCCCAGACUCCUACGGGAGGCAGCAGUGGGGAAUAUUGCACAAUGGGCGAAAGCCUGAUGCAGCGACGCCGCGUGAGGGAUGACGGCCUUCGGGUUGUAAACCUCUUUCAGUAGGGAAGAAGCGAAAGUGACGGUACCUGCAGAAGAAGCACCGGCUAACUACGUG
This 466-nucleotide ribosomal RNA is filed under the name uncultured bacterium. RNAcentral's name for it is "partial 16S ribosomal RNA". It matches the Rfam family "Bacterial small subunit ribosomal RNA", at positions 28 to 507 of the family's 1533-position model. The record is from RNAcentral.